RNAcentral lists this ribosomal RNA (474 nucleotides) under uncultured organism. RNAcentral describes it as "partial 16S ribosomal RNA". It matches the Rfam family "Bacterial small subunit ribosomal RNA", at positions 332 to 798 of the family's 1533-position model. The record is from RNAcentral.
UACACUCCUACGGGAGGCAGCAGUAGGGAAUCUUCCACAAUGGGUGCAAACCUGAUGGAGCAAUGCCGCGUGAGUGAAGAAGGUCUUCGGAUCGUAAAGCUCUGUUGUUAGAGAAGAACACGUGCUAGGUAACUACUAGCGCCUUGACGGUAUCUAACCAGAAAGUCACGGCUAACUACGUGCCAGCAGCCGCGGUAAUACGUAGGUGACAAGCGUUGUCCGGAUUUAUUGGGCGUAAAGGGAGCGCAGGCGGUCUGUUUAGUCUAAUGUGAAAGCCCACGGCUUAACCGUGGAACGGCAUUGGAAACUGACAGACUUGAAUGUAGAAGAGGAAAAUGGAAUUCCAAGUGUAGCGGUGGAAUGCGUAGAUAUUUGGAGGAACACCAGUGGCGAAGGCGAUUUUCUGGUCUAACAUUGACGCUGAGGCUCGAAAGCGUGGGGAGCGAACAGGAUUAGAAACCCUUGUAGUCCCAU